GUUCUCUCCUCUCCCCUCUGUAUGAUUCUCAGCAUUGCCUGCUGACCAAGCCACGGCACCCAUGGCCAAACAUACACAACUUCAUGUCUCAAAGUUUGUGCUGCCUAAAGCCCUCAACCUCCCAAGACAGGCACUGCUAAGGGAAUUCUCAGAUGGGGCACAAAGGGAGAUAAGUGGGAGGGGUAUAGGGAGAAAGAGGGAGCCACAGGAAGCAGAGGCAGGGGAACUUGUUGGAAUGGCAUCCAGGACUCUAGUCUUUUUAGGAGUAAGAAUUUCAAGGUAUAAGUGGGAAACAAACAGAUUUACAUGGUUAAAGAAAAUGGAGAACUAACACAAAGGAGGAAAUGACCAACCCGCCUAUGUUCGAUUGUAGAAACCCCUGAUUAAUUACAGUCAUUAUGUGAAUUGUUUGUGUGUUUCUGAUUACCAUGCAGCUCAGUAUCAGUGAUAUAUAAUGUAAAUAUAUAUCAGAUCAGCUGUGCCCUAAAUUUAAUUAGAAAGCUUUACCAACCGAUAUUUAGUAUUCUUAAUUUGUCGCUCACAUCGUAAGAGCCUUCACAACCUAAAAUUAAAAGAAUGUUUCAAAAAGUGAAUUCCAAUGGUAUUCUUUUCUCCUACCCCAAAGUUCCUGCUUUCUUUCUAACUUGCCCCCAUAAGUUCCAGGAGAGCAGUUAUCAGGCUUCCCUAUGUUAUUGGUGGCUUAUAUACCACUGCGGUCAUUCUGUGGCUUUGACACAGCCGCAGUGGCAAUGGCCAUGCAGUCAUUCAUUUAGUCACUAGAUAUUUCCUGAGCUUCUGUGAUGUACCAAGACUGUGCCUGGUGCUGAAGAUGUUAGGAAGAAUAAGAUUCAGUCCCUUCCCUCCAGAUGUUUACACCUAGAAUCCAUACCAGCUUAUAUAUCUAGCCACAUCUUCCUACAUACCCCAUACCACUGAUUCAUUGCAAUGCUAUUUAUCCCUGAAAUAUUUCUUCAAAAAAUGUAUAUGUGUGGAUGUAUAUAUACAUAUGCACAUACAUAAAUGUACUAUCAUAAAAGAGUACAUUACGAUUACUUCAUGUGUCAAGUUUUCCCAUGCUCCAAGUGCUGUUUCAUACUCUGUAUCGGAGCCAGCGCAGCAACCUGGAAGGUUCCCUCACACAGUAAGCCUCA
This 1151-nucleotide long non-coding RNA is filed under the name Homo sapiens (human). RNAcentral describes it as "non-protein coding lnc-MTRF1-3:1". Lineage: Eukaryota; Metazoa; Chordata; Mammalia; Primates; Hominidae. The record is from RNAcentral.